GUCUACGGCCACACCACCCUGGAUGCGCCCGAUCUCGCAUGAUCUCGGAAGCUAAGCAGGGUCGGGCCUGGUUAGUACUUGGAUGGGAGACAAAUGAAGGAAAUUUUGAUUUACCACACU
This is a ribosomal RNA of Ochotona princeps (American pika), 120 nucleotides long. NCBI's taxonomy places the organism in Eukaryota, Metazoa, Chordata, Mammalia, Lagomorpha, Ochotonidae. The record is from Ensembl.